GAUGAACGCUGGCGGCGUGCUUAACACAUGCAAGUCGAACGAGAAAUGUAGACGGACACCUUCGGGCGGAAGCCUUCAUUUCGAGUGGCGGACGGGUGAGUAACGCGUGGGUAACCUGCCUCAUACAGGGGGAUAACAGUUGGAAACGACUGUUAAUACCGCAUAAGACCACAGCAUCGCAUGAUGCGGGGGUAAAAACUCCGGUGGUAUGAGAUGGACCCGCGUUCGAUUAGCCAGUUGGCGGGGUAACGGCCCACCAAAGCGACGAUCGAUAGCCGAUCUGAGAGGAUGACCGGCCACAUUGGGACUGAGACACGGCCCAAACUCCUACGGGAGGCAGCAGUGGGGAAUAUUGCACAAUGGGGGAAGCCCUGAUGCAGCGACGCCGCGUGAGUGAAGAAGUACUUCGGUAUGUAAAGCUCUAUCAGCAGGGAAGAAAAUGACGGUACCUGAGGAAGAAGCCCCGGCUAACUACGUG
Molecule: ribosomal RNA, 478 nt
Filed under: uncultured bacterium
Lineage: Bacteria
Description: partial 16S ribosomal RNA
Rfam family: Bacterial small subunit ribosomal RNA
Source: RNAcentral